UACGGGGGGGGCAAGCGUUGUUCGGAAUUAUUGGGCGUAAAGAGCGUGUAGGCGGCCAGAUAAGUCCGCUGUGAAAUCUCGAGGCUCAACUUCGAGCUGUCGGUGGAAACUAUCUGGCUAGAGUCCGGAAGAGGAGAAUGGAAUUCCUGGUGUAGCGGUGAAAUGCGCAGAUAUCAGGAAGAACACCCGUGGCGAAGGCGGUUCUCUGGGACGGUACUGACGCUGAGACGCGAAAGCGUGGGGAGCGAACAGG
This 253-nucleotide ribosomal RNA is filed under the name uncultured bacterium. RNAcentral's name for it is "partial 16S ribosomal RNA". It matches the Rfam family "Bacterial small subunit ribosomal RNA", at positions 524 to 776 of the family's 1533-position model. The record is from RNAcentral.